RNAcentral lists this ribosomal RNA (1077 nucleotides) under Triticum aestivum (bread wheat). RNAcentral describes it as "partial small subunit ribosomal RNA". The record is from RNAcentral. Lineage: Eukaryota; Viridiplantae; Streptophyta; Magnoliopsida; Poales; Poaceae.
AUGAGCCGGCGGUUUCUGUACAUGGCGGUCGAGAACUUGUGCGCUUCUCCCGUCUCACACACGCUCCACCGCAUCAACCCCUCGCGCCUGUUCUACCCCAAGGAGGCGAAUACGAGGGCUAAGACGGAGGUGGCUGCGGCCGAUGCAGUGAAGGCUCGCCUGCCUCCCCCCUCCAUGACCUUCUCCUCUCCCGACGUGGACAACGUGGUGGAGACGGACUUCGCGCUCAUCGGCCGGAGCAAGGACAAGAUCGUCGCCCUGCACCGCGCCCAUUUCGAUGACACAAAAUAUUACCGGGUCACGACUCAGGGCAGCGCCGUACUCUACGACGAUGCGCCGCACUCCUUCCGCGCGCUGCCCGACAUCACAGCCACAUUGCCCCACGGCGAGGUCGCGCCUGUCGCGGUCGGCGACGACCUGUACUUCAUACACUCCACACGGUUUGCGCCGAACGACAAGGACAGGUACGUCCAUGCGUUUAUUCGUGAUCCCGCCGGAGACGGUGGCUGGCAUUGGCAUUCCUUUCCGCCGCCUCCCGUCGAGGGAGGCGCCGCGGGAGCCUACGCGGUGGUGGACAGGUCGCACAUCUGGGCGUCCACGCGUGGUCACGGGACCUACUCCAUGGACACGGCGACCGGCGUGUGGAGCAAGGCCAGCGACUCACCGCUGCCGUUCAUGGGACGCGCCGAGUACGCUCCGGAGCUCGGCCUCUGGUUCGGCUGGGACAGAGGACUCCUCUGCGCGUGGGACCUGAAAUCUGCCGGCGCCGGCGCAGCGCCGAUGGAGUUGUGGGAAGGCUUCACGUUGCCCAGGGGAAGUUAUGUGAGGUCGCAGUACCUCGUGCACCUGGGCGACGGUGGCCGGUUCUGCGUCGCCAAGCUCUUUGAGAUGAUAAAGCCGCCGCCGACGUCGUGCUGUGCUCGCUGUUACUAUGACAAUUGCCCCCCUAAAAUUGGGUUCGCCGUGCUCACCGGCAUGGAGGUGGAGCGCUGCGACAGCGGGGAGCUCCGAAUGAUCAAGCACAGGUCGCGCAAAUAUAGCUUAGGUGAAACGAGGAUCUCCCAUGCUGUACUUUAA